Molecule: ribosomal RNA, 392 nt
Filed under: uncultured bacterium
Lineage: Bacteria
Description: partial 16S ribosomal RNA
Rfam family: Bacterial small subunit ribosomal RNA
Source: RNAcentral
AUACGGAGGAUGCGAGCGUUAUCCGGAUUUAUUGGGUUUAAAGGGAGCGUAGGCGGGAGCUUAAGUCAGCGGUUAAAUGGUGCGGCUCAACCGUGCCCUGCCGUUGAAACUGGGUUUCUUGAGAGUGCAAGAGGCGGAUGGAAUUUAUGGGGUAGCGGGGGAAUGCUUAGAUAUCAUGAAGAACUCCGAUUGCGAAGGCAGUCCGCUGGGGCACGUCUGACGCUGAUGCUCGAAGGUGCGGGAAUCAAACAGGAUUAGAUACCCUGGUAGUCCGCACGGUAAACGAUGAUUACCCGCUGUCGGCGGUAGACAGUCGGCGGCCAAGCGAAAGCGAUAAGUAAUCCACCUGGGGAGUACGCCGGCAACGGUGAAACUCAAAGGAAUUGACGGGG